AUUAGGGUCUGCUACGUCUAAGCAAUUGGGUUCAUGCCCCAAAAACGGUGCCACCACCCCCUAAUA
RNAcentral lists this transfer RNA (66 nucleotides) under Uromastyx acanthinura (North-African mastigure). RNAcentral's name for it is "tRNA-Met". The record is from RNAcentral. Lineage: Eukaryota; Metazoa; Chordata; Lepidosauria; Squamata; Agamidae.